AACACUGUUAACCUGCGGUACCUGCGGAAGGAUCAUUACCGAGUUUACAACUCCCAAACCCCUGUGAACAUACCAAUUGUUGCCUCGGCGGAUCAGCCCGCUCCCGGUAAAACGGGACGGCCCGCCAGAGGACCCCUAAACUCUGUUUCUAUAUGUAACUUCUGAGUAAAACCAUAAAUAAAUCAAAACUUUCAGCAACGGAUCU
Molecule: unclassified non-coding RNA, 205 nt
Filed under: soil metagenome
Description: partial contains 5.8S ribosomal RNA, internal transcribed spacer 2, and large subunit ribosomal RNA
Source: RNAcentral